RNAcentral lists this ribosomal RNA (440 nucleotides) under uncultured bacterium. Its description in RNAcentral is "partial 16S ribosomal RNA". It matches the Rfam family "Bacterial small subunit ribosomal RNA", at positions 355 to 787 of the family's 1533-position model. The record is from RNAcentral.
UAGGGAAUCUUCCACAAUGGACGCAAGUCUGAUGGAGCAACGCCGCGUGAGUGAAGAAGGCUUUCGGGUCGUAAAACUCUGUUAUUGAAGAAGAACGUGUGUGACAGUAACUGGUCAUGCAGUGACGGUAUUCAAUCAGAAAGUCACGACUAACUACGUGCCAGCAGCCGCGGUAAUACGUAGGUGGCAAGCGUUGUCCGGAUUUAUUGGGCGUAAAGCGAGUGCAGGCGGUCUUUUAAGUCUGAUGUGAAAGCCUUCGGCUUAACCGAAGAAGGGCAUCGGAAACUGGGAGACUUGAGUGCAGAAGAGGAGAGUGGAACUCCAUGUGUAGCGGUGAAAUGCGUAGAUAUAUGGAAGAACACCAGUGGCGAACGCGGCUCUCUGGUCUGUAACUGACGCUGAGGCUCGAAAGCGUGGGUAGCAAACAGGAUUAGAUACCC